UUAGAGAUGAGGGUCUCAUCCUUUUGCCCAGGCUGGAGUACAGUGGUGUGUAUGUAGCACACUGCAGCCUUCAACUCCUGAUCCUCCAACCUCAGCCUCCACAGUUGCUGGGAUUACAAGUGCAAGUUGGUGUGUAUCUGCAAAGGCGAUGGAAAGGAGUUCUUACAUAUGCAUAUUCUGAAGAAGGAUGUUACCCUUACUGAAAAACUUAUUCCAAGAUAUGUUUAAUCAAUCAUGAGA
Molecule: long non-coding RNA, 240 nt
Filed under: Homo sapiens (human)
Lineage: Eukaryota; Metazoa; Chordata; Mammalia; Primates; Hominidae
Description: HSALNT0208727
Source: RNAcentral